UGGGGGAUAGUGAGGGGAUAAAUUUCCUUAAGGAACUCGGCAAAAAUCCCAAUGGCCCACCAGGGCAUAAAUUGGAACACGGGCCUCGACUGUUUACCAAAAACAUAGCCCUCGGCCAAUAUGAAAAUAGAAGUAUGGAGGGUGAGGCCUGCCCAAUGGUUGUAUCUAAAAGCGGUUGAUAAAAGUCGACCGCGUAAGGACAAUUGAAUGGCCGCGGUAACACUGACCGUGAUAAUGUAGCGUAAUCAAUAGCCAAUUAAUUGUUGGCCAGUAUGAAUGGCGCCACGAAGGCCCCACUGUCUUAAGGAAAUUCCCAGUGAAAUUGAAUUCGUAGUGAAGAUGCUACGUCCAAUUUGUUAGACGAAAAGACCCCGUUGAGCUUUACUGGGGCACUUACACGGCCCCGGCCUUCAAGACUGGGUUGAUAAGCCAAGGCUUACUAUACCUAGGGACCGGCCGAAUUUAAAUGGGCGGCUUAGACUAUGUGGCAGCCCCCCCCCGUCGGGGCAGAUGAAACCCCACUCCCCCAUGUCAAAGGGGCUAACCCCCCCCCCUUGGGGGGGACAAUGUAAGUAGGACAGUUUGGUUGGGGCGACCGCCUUUUAGAGAGUAACGAAGGUGCGCUUAAGGUGCGUAAUUAAUGACUGAAGCCUGACUGCGAGGGGGACACCCCGAGCAGACACCCCCAAGCCCGCCCUUCAAGGGCGGCGGUGGGGUGGGCCAUAGUGACCCGUUAAUUUAGAGUGGAAUAGUUAACGAUCAACGAAUAAAAG
This 773-nucleotide ribosomal RNA is filed under the name Parazoanthus sp. 3 'Sulawesi'. RNAcentral's name for it is "partial 16S ribosomal RNA". It matches the Rfam family "Bacterial large subunit ribosomal RNA", at positions 1677 to 2462 of the family's 2925-position model. The record is from RNAcentral. Lineage: Eukaryota; Metazoa; Cnidaria; Anthozoa; Zoantharia; Parazoanthidae.